Canis lupus familiaris (dog) is the source of this 2569-nucleotide long non-coding RNA. RefSeq lists it as uncharacterized. The record is from RefSeq and is a predicted model, not a curated record. Lineage: Eukaryota; Metazoa; Chordata; Mammalia; Carnivora; Canidae. The transcript is spliced from 10 exons.
UUUUAGUGAAAAGAAAUGUUAACCCAAACUAAAAAAUAAACUAGUUUUACCAAAAGAAUGUUCAAGUACUUGCCCCAAACAGUACCAAGUCAGAGUAUUAGCAGUUGUGCCUCUUGUUUAGAUAUCAUGUUCCAUUAUAGUACCCAUAGGAGGGGGUCAUAAUCAGAAUUCUUCAGAGAAACAGAACUAAUGGGAUGUGCAUAUACUAAAAGAGAGAGAAUUUAUUACAAGGAAUUGGCUCACAUAUGUAUGGAGGUGAGCAAGUUCCAAGAACUGCUGGGUGAGUCAGCAAGUUGGAGACUCUGGUGAGUCAACGGUAUAGUUCCUGUGGAGUUGGUAGAACCUGAGAGCUAGGCCUUGCAGAAUAGAAGGUGGAUCUUUUAUGGGUUUCCAGCUAAGUAGAAAAAUGAUCAAAACUCCACAUGUAGGCAGACUCCAAGGUUAAGUGAAAUUGUUGGAAGUGUUCUAAAUUAUACUGUAUUUCUUUAAACUCUAGUGUUAGGAAUUAAAGCUACAAUAGUACUUAAAUCAUUUUCUGUGUACUUUAAACAUUAGCAUUCAUAAGUUUGCUGUUAAGUAGUUCAACACAACUCUCCAAGUAACUUUAUGGAAUCAAAAGAAAUCACAUUUCCUGUAAAUUAUUCCAGAGCAAAGAGAGAUGAUGAUGGAGGGAGGGGACUUGUUUUCCUCAUAGUACAGUAACUUAAUUUUACUUAUACCUGUAAUAUACUGUUCCUUUAAUGGUCUUCCAGCCCCAACUCCCAGUAUGUAGUUGGGGUGCCUGUGUCUGAUGAAAUUCUCUGUUGGCCUGGGAGAUUAUUUCUAAAUAAUCUUAUUCUUUUGUGCCUGCUCCUAAAUCCUUAUACCACCACACUUUGAAUGUGGUAUAAGUAUCAACCCCCAAAUAAGAAAGUAGAUUUUGACAGAGCUAUAUAAUCAAAGUAAUUUUCCUUUUGCAACUAUUCCACAAAGAAGAAAAAAAAAAAAGAACAUUUGAAGUUGUUCAGCUACUUCCAUUGUCUUAGAUUAGUAUUCUUUUUUGAGAGUUGUCAGAUAAAGCUAGGGCAAAGCUGAAAUAAUAAUAUCCUGUAUCAUUUUAUUUUUUAUUUUUGUAUUUCUCCCCUAACUUACUGGCUGUCUCUUUUCAGUGUUUCCCACCAUCCUUUUCUAUUGCCUGCUGGGCCAAUCUUUUCUCAAAUCAAACAGUUGAAUUUUCUUAUUAUACUUCGACUAUCUUAAAGAUGCCCCUGUAUUGCCAGGGUUCCUUGCAGCUAGGCAACAGUCCCUUGAGUUCCAGCCCACAUGGGGAGAAGGAGAAUGUGUUGGUUGGAAAGCUUGGAAAAGGAAGCAAGACUUGAGUGCUAGGAUCCUCUGUCUGCUGACUAUACUUUAGAGAUGAGUGAGCGCAAGGCCCUGGCAACCACUAUUCUGUUCUUUUUUUCUGUGGAGUCUGCCUAUUUUAGAUACCUCCUAAUUGGAAUCAUACAAUUGUUGUCUUCCCGGGACCACAGGUGGCAUCUACUGUGGCCCAGACAUGCAUAUUACUGGAAGAUGUCUGCUAUUUUUAUAACUGUGGCUUAGGGCUUUCACAUACUGCUAAUGAGAUGAAGCACUAUGCUCUUAGUUUCUGUAGUGAUUUUCAAAGCCAGUCGUGCAGGAAGACAUCAGUCAACAGUCAUUGCAGGGUCAGCAACCAGGAAGCAGUUGGAGAAAAUACAAGGUCUCACAGGGCCCUGAGCAACUGAGGACCAAAAGAAGACAUCCAACACUGGGGGUCUGGCCAUAGACAUGGAGCUCUGAAGAGUGAUGGAUCAGAAGUCUCGGUCCAAGAAUUAGUUCUGCACUGCUUCAACUACAAGCAGCUAUGGAAAUGCGCUUCAUUGGUUGAGUUGAUGACCAAACCUGAAGGAGAUCUGGCAUUGGUGUUUCUACAAGCUCAAUGAGAGGAGAGAGUACUUCUCUUGGAAGGGGAUUCGAUGGAAGGAAAGGCUAGGUGGAAAGGAGCUGGAAGUCAAGCAGGAAUCCUGGAGCACACUGCAGACUGAAAAGGCCUGUUUUGGUCUAGGAGUGUCACACAGAGAGAGAGAGAGAGAGGCAGAGGGAGAAGCAGGUUCCAUGCACCGGGAGCCCGACGUGGGAUUCAUCAACUUCUGUGCCUUCCUCUGCCCCCACCACCUCUGUGUCCUGAUUGUUCAAUACUCUGGUUGCCCAAAACGCGGCGCCACCCAGAGAUCCCGAAUGCUGCCAAAUUUCAAAAGAGGUACAACAUUUAUUUUUCACCAACCACGCAUAAAAGCAGUCAUUUUCCCCUCUGUUCCUCAGGACUGGUUUCAGAUAUCAAAGCCCUGCCAAAUUCAGCUUUAAGUUUGAUGGCAUCUGACUAUUAUCCUUCUAAAAUACCUAUGGAGGACCAGAAAAUGGAUAUAAGUUUAGAAUGGCAUGGAAAAACUACAACAAUCAGUCAACCUACAGCACCAAUCUCGGGGCAAUGUCCACUAAAUAAAAUGAAAGCACAGUCAUCUGCUAUUGUGUAGCUCAGAAAGAAAGUCCCCCCCCCCCCCAAAAUAAA